This 800-nucleotide ribosomal RNA is filed under the name uncultured bacterium. RNAcentral describes it as "bacterial SSU rRNA". It matches the Rfam family "Bacterial small subunit ribosomal RNA", at positions 62 to 836 of the family's 1533-position model. The record is from RNAcentral.
UCGAACGAGAAGUACGUAGCAAUACGUAUUGUAAAGUGGCGCACGGGUGAGUAACACGUGGGUAAUCUGCCCUUGAGUUUGGGAUAACCCCGCGAAAGCGGGGCUAAUACCGAAUAAGACCACGGGGACCAAAGUCCCUGAGGUAAAAGGUGGCCUCUAUUUAUAAGCUACCACUUGAGGAUGAGCCCGCGGCCCAUUAGCUAGUUGGCAGGGUAAUGGCCUACCAAGGCAAUGAUGGGUAGCUGGUCUGAGAGGACGAUCAGCCACACUGGAACUGAGACACGGUCCAGACUCCUACGGGAGGCAGCAGUGGGGAAUAUUGCGCAAUGGGCGAAAGCCUGACGCAGCAACGCCGCGUGGGGGAUGAAGGUUCUCGGAUUGUAAACCCCUUUCGACCGGAACGAAUCUCCUCCUGGUAAAUAAUCAGGAGGAUCGACGGUACCGGGAGAAGAAGCCACGGCUAACUCUGUGCCAGCAGCCGCGGUAAGACAGAGGUGGCGAGCGUUGUUCGGAUUUAUUGGGCGUAAAGCGAACGCAGGUGGUUUGGUAAGUCAGGGGUGAAAGACCACAGCUUAACUGUGGCAUUGCCUUUGAUACUGCCUUUCUUGAGUAGAGUAGGGGGAAGCGGAAUUCCGAGUGUAGAGGUGAAAUUCGUAGAUAUUCGGAGGAACACCGGUGGCGAAGGCGGCUUCCUGGACUCUAACUGACACUCAUGUUCGAAAGCGUGGGGAGCAAACAGGAUUAGAUACCCUGGUAGUCCACGCCCUAAACGAUGGGCACUAGGUGUGGGAGGUAUCGAC